GUGCCAGCAGCCGCGGUAAUACGUAGGGUGCGAGCGUUGUCCGGAAUUACUGGGCGUAAAGAGCUCGUAGGUGGUUUGUCGCGUCGUCUGUGAAAUUCCGGGGCUUAACUCCGGGCGUGCAGGCGAUACGGGCAUAACUUGAGUACUGUAGGGGAGACUGGAAUUCCUGGUGUAGCGGUGAAAUGCGCAGAUAUCAGGAGGAACACCGGUGGCGAAGGCGGGUCUCUUGGGCAGUAACUGACGCUGAGGAGCGAAAGCAUGGGGAGCGAACAGGAUUAUAUACCCUGGUAGUCC
RNAcentral lists this ribosomal RNA (294 nucleotides) under uncultured microorganism. Its description in RNAcentral is "partial 16S ribosomal RNA". It matches the Rfam family "Bacterial small subunit ribosomal RNA", at positions 505 to 796 of the family's 1533-position model. The record is from RNAcentral.